UGUAUUUAUUAGAUUAAAAACCAAUGCCCUUCGGGGCUCCUUGGUGAUUCAUAAUAACUUAACGAAUCGCAUGGCCUUGUGCCGGCGAUGGUUCAUUCAAAUUUCUGCCCUAUCAACUUUCGAUGGUAGUAUAUGGGACUACCAUGGUUUCAACGGGUAACGGGGAAUUAGGGUUCUAUUCCGGAGAGGGAGCCUGAGAAACGGCUACCACAUCCAAGGAAGGCAGCAGGCGCGCAAAUUACCCAAUCCCGACACGGGGAGGUAGUGACAAUAAAUACUGAUACAGGGCUCUUUUGGGUCUUGUAAUUGGAAUGAGUACAAUUUAAAUCCCUUAACGAGGAACAAUUGGAGGGCAAGUCUGGUGCCAGCAGCCGCGGUAAUACCAGCUCCAAUAGCGUAUAUUAAAGUUGUUGCAGUUAAAAAGCUCGUAGUUGAACCUUGGGCCUGGCUGGCCGGUCCGCCUCACCGCGUGCACUGGUCCGGCCGGGUCUUUCCUCCUGGGGAGCCGCAUGCCCUUCACUGGGUGUGUCGGGGAACCAGG
RNAcentral lists this ribosomal RNA (541 nucleotides) under uncultured eukaryote. RNAcentral describes it as "SSU rRNA". It matches the Rfam family "Eukaryotic small subunit ribosomal RNA", at positions 202 to 746 of the family's 1831-position model. The record is from RNAcentral.